Long non-coding RNA from Mus musculus (house mouse), 4667 nucleotides. RefSeq annotates it as predicted gene, 41112. The transcript has 2 exons. The record is from RefSeq and is a predicted model, not a curated record. Lineage: Eukaryota; Metazoa; Chordata; Mammalia; Rodentia; Muridae.
AAGAGCCAGCUCCUGUCUCAUUGUCCCCGACAGCAUGUACAAUUGCCUCAUCUGCUUUUCCUUCUCGCAAACACUGCUGGUUCCCAGGAUCCAGUCCUGCAUCUGUCUCCCUCACUCCAGACCACAUGUAUCUGAAGCUGCUUCCCACUCUUGGCCCUUCAAGUGACUCUGGAAAAUCUCCUGUUCCUUGGGCCCCUCUUUGCAAACCAGAGGACGUUUCCUGUGAUGUUUCAUCCAUCGCCGACCUCAGCCAAGACCCUUUCAGGCCUUGUACAGUGUGUUCCCCUGAUGACAAGGAGCCAGGAGAAGGUAAUGGCUGUGCUUGCUUCCAGCACUAACGUUUCUGCCUGAGACUUUCCAAUCUUUGUUCUUUCCCGGUUCCCCUUUCCAUCUGUCGCUUGACACCAUGCGACUGAUUACAUUUCUUUAACUGCCUUGGAAAACAGCUUGUAGUUUUUUUUAAAAGCCUUUAAAUAAGAUAAAGCUCCAUUUUUCUAACACAUUUGAGGAGGAAAGUGGAAGGGGACGUGACAGCCAUUGAACACCUACUAUGCGCCCGUCCCUUGAGGAACUCUGGUUGAGUCCUAGCAUGUAGCUUGUGAAGCUGUUUUCUAAAGCCAUCCUUGUUUUGUCUUGGUUUUCCCCGCUAUGUACUACUUUCCUUCCGGUGCAAAUCAGUCUGCAUUCUCCCAGGAAAUAGUGGCAGAGGGCUCUCCAGAAACAGAAAGAAGAGGUUUGUUACUGAAACUGGUGCACCUGACUCAGGAGACCAAGAAGUCACAUGACCCUCUGCCCCUCUGCUCCCUACCACACCUCACUUUGGAGAAGAAGAAGUGUGAAGAUCCAAGGACCUGUAGCUUCCAUGUGCCAGGGAAUUAUUUGUUCUAGAUGGACCAGGGCAGAUUGCAUGGUGCUCCUCUGUGCUGAGGAUCCAUGCUGGAGCUCUGACAACCUCCCCAAAGGUAGCUCAGGGUUGUGAAGCUUGGAUGUGGUCCAGCAGGAUUUGAACUCAGGGUUGUGACACCACAGCUCAUGAAAACUCAGGUGACCAAUGAAGAGAAAUGAUGUGAUUUCCUCUUUCACUGUCCAAAGCUGAGCCAGGGAGGUUCCCAGGAGCUACUUCUUCAGCCCUGAAAGUCAGCUGUGAGAAAAAGCACUGGAUGUCAUUGCCCAGUCCCUCCCUCUUAAUACCGGACUGAGGCACAGGCACAGAGCAGGAUCAAUCACUGUCGCAGACUGAGCUGGCAUUGCUCAGAGUUUGUAUAAGCCUGACUGGAUGCUGAGACCUCUUUAAGAAAUAGCCAAGGAAGACUGAAGCCAGCAAGAGCCUGUGCACUGCCCUCCGGGACUCUGGAAGGAUAUAUUCUCAGAAAAGAAGGUGCCACAGAGUCUAGAGCACCAGGCUGUUCCUCCUGGCCAUUCUGGUCAUUCCCACAUGAUGCCCACCUCUACUUGGUCCAGAGCUCUCAUCUCCCAGUUGAAUGUGGGCCUCUGUUCUCUUGGCUCCAGGAGGCAUGGCCGGCUUCUCACUCCCUCCUCUGCUGAAUCUCAGUAAAGAGAGAAGCUAUUUAAGACAUCCCAGGGGAGCCAAUAAUUGAAAGAGUCAUCUGAUUUAAAAGCUAAGAGCCUGAGCUCUGCCAUUUCAGUUACAGUACCACCACCACCACCACCACCACCCCCGCUCCCCCAUGGUGAACCUAACGCAAGUCCCAGAGCCUAUCCUCUUCCUACCAAACCAGCCAGGCUCAGCAGACAGGAUCUUUGAGUCUAGAACAAAGCUCUGUGUGGCUGUCCUAGCAUCUCUGGAGCUAUGGUGUCACAUGCCUUCCUUGAUGAUCACCAGGACUCUGCAAACUCCAGACUCAAGCAUCAAGUGCCCUAAGCAUAAUUGUGGCCCACAGUGUCUCCAGUGCCUUCAGUGACUCUAGUGGCUCCCUUCACAAGGCUCUGACUGGCUCCAUGAGCCCUCUAGCCCUAUUCAGAGUAUCUGGUAAGACAUGGGAAAGCAUCAUCCCAAAGCACCGUGAGCAGGCUGGAGAUGUGGCUCAGUCUGUAGAGGGUUUGUCUAGCUUGAAUGAGGUCCCAGGUUCAAACUCCAGUACCACACAGACAGGGUAUGGUGGCAUGUGCCUAUAAUCCUGGAACUUGGGAGGUGGAGGCAUGAAGAUUAGUAGUUCAAGAUUUUCCUCAGCUAUAGAGACUUCAAAAGUGAUAGUGUGACUUGGUGUGACAGGAGUGUAUGUCAAUGUGACACCCUAAAAAUGACUGGAGAUGAAGGUCACCAAAGGUAUCUGAUAGUUCUCCAGGAGCAAAGGGUGAACACGGGACUAGCUAUCAUCUGCGAUGGCUCUAAGUCCAUUCAUUUCCUUCAAGGAGCCCCUCCAUAUGCCAGGCAGCGUCUAGGGUUGGGAUGAGUAGCCAGCAGGGUGCGUAGGUACUGGCAAGGAGCAAGCAUGCUGAGGAAUAGGGAAAUGCAGGGAAGGAGAACACAGGUUAAUGGGAGCAAAGGAGGUGAAUGGAGAAGCUGGGGGUGGGAAAGGUUUGCAGAGACAGAUGACUCGGAAAGCAGGAACUGUCUUGGCAGAGAACGUGGCUGGUUCAAAGGCCAAGACAGGCAGAAGUAUGGCACAUUUGGUAAGAAGUAUGGGGUGUUCGAACAUGGGGGGGGGGGUCUGGCACAGAUGGAGAUAUAGAAGGCACUAGGCAAUGUGAGUCAGGGAGCAGCAGUCUUGAAUUUUGGGUUAAAGUCUGACAACCUUGCCAGGGGUCAGAUGAGCACAGAGAAUGAAGAAAGACCACACCGAUUUGGGAAAUUGUCAUCAUUCAUGAUGACUGAAGAAAUUAGCCACUUGCCCAAGGGACGGUGAGCUCUCUUCCUGCUCCCCCUGUCUCCCCACAGCCCAUAUCCCUCCACUGCAGCUCCUGGAACCGCAGUAUGGUUACUUAUGCUGGCCAUCUAACUUCAUCCUGCCUUUGACUCUCCGAGGAGUCUUGGGGUUAGAUCCAUUUGCCAGGUGAGGGUUGUUGACUGAGCUCUUCUCAGUCAUGUGAUUGGCGACAGGACCCCGUAUCUGACAGUCUCAAUCACUUUUGAAGAAAGAUGCAGUGUUUCCAGUCUGUAUAAUCACAGCAUGGAGUUCCAGUUGCUCCAUGCAAUCACUAGAUUUUUUUUAAUUUUAAGAAAUUGUGUGUGUGUGUGUUUAGUUUCUCUAUAGUGGUUAAUUCAAUUGUCAACUAGACCCAGCCUUAAAUCACCUGGGUACAGAGUCUCAGGAAGUAGCUCUCUAGAUCACGUUGGCCUGAGGACACAUCCUGGAGGGGUGGAGUGAGGAGGCAUUGCCUUGGUUACAUUAAUUAACCUGUACAGGCCCCGCCUAAAAUUGGGAAGCACUAUUCCUGGUCUUGGACAGGACAGAAGACUGGGCAAGCUGAGAGGUAGCAUGGGUGCCUUCAUUUCUCUCUGCUCUUGACCUUUUAAGCAGCUGUUCUAAGAUCCUGCUUCCUUGACUUCCUACUCUGAUGACCUAGAACUGAGAGCAAAGUAACUCCUUCCUCCACUAGGUUGCCUUUUGUCGGGGUAUUUUAUCACUGCAACAGAAAUGAAACCAGAACACCGUUCUAACAUGUUCUCGGGGUAUCUUAAGAUAGUUUUAUUCUGAUUUGAACUCCAUGAACUUUACAGCCUGUGUCUCUUCAAGAAAGCAUCUAUUCAGAUUGCUUUGCCCACUGGCUUAUUAGGUUCUUUGAUUUUCUUCUGCUGAAUUUGAACAAUUUUUGCCUGUACCAGACACAAGCAUUGCGUGUGUGGUUUAAAAACCUUCUCAUUCAGGCCUUCCAUUCUCUCAACAGUGUUUCUCACAGGGAAACAAGUUUUAUUCUGAUAGAGUUCAGUCUAUGGACUCCACGGGUGUCACAUCUAAGAACCUUUUGCCUCGAGAUGCCAAGAGAAGGUUUCUCCAUGUAUAUCCCUCAUGUUGAACCCUUUCCAGACAGAUCUACAGUUGGUUUCAUGGAAGGCAUGAGAAGUCUUUAUUUCCCACGUCUGACGUUAUUUGGCUAUAGAUCUUUUAUCAUCUCAGCCGGUGUUUGAUAAAAAGAUAAUCCCAUUUUCAGUGAGUUUGUCAAAAAUCGUGCUGUGCUGCGCUUUCUGCAACUGCCUGCAUCUGGGAGUCUGCUGUGCCCACCCUCCAAGUUGCCCAUUCCACCAUCCCCUGCACUCUUGGGUCCUGCAUGCAGAAGCUUCAAAACCAGGCCGUGCAGUCCCUCCAGAUGCCUUAACCCCCAAAUUCUUAUGACCACCCCUGCUUUGCUUCCUUCUUUUACAUGAAUUGCAAUGCGUUGGUUUAUUAAAAUCCAAUCUAGUAACUUUAUGUGUGUUCUAUUUGUGUUCAUGAGGAAUAUUUGCCUAGAAUUUCUGCUUGUUGUAUGGUUUUUUUUUUUUUACCUGGUUUUGACUUCAGGAUAAUAGUAGCCUUAUAAGAUGCAUUGUGAACUCCUCCCUCUUCUGUGUCUGGAAGCAGUUAUACAGAAUUGCUGUUACUUUUUCCUUCAAUGUUUGGCAGAAUAUGUCCAUGCAACCAUCUUGACCUAGAGUUUUCCUUUCUGGGAGAUUUUCUUUUUAAACUCAAAGCUCUUUCUUUAAUAAAUGUAGAGCUAUUCAGAGAGUC